GACGAACGCUGGCGGCGUGCCUAACACAUGCAAGUCGAGCGGAGACAGUGAGUAGCUUGCUAUGAGCUGUUUUAGCGGCGGACGGGUGAGUAACGCGUGAGCAACCUUUCCCAGACAGGGGAAUAACACACCGAAAGGUGUACUAAUACCGCAUAAGACCACGGGAUCACAUGGUUCUGGGGUAAAAGAUUUAUCCGGUUUUGGGGUGGGCUCGCGUCCGAUUAGGUAGUUGGUGAGGUAACGGCCCACCAAGCCGACGAUCGGUAGCCGACCUGAGAGGGUGAUCGGCCACAUUGGAACUGAGACACGGCCCAAACUCCUACGGGAGGCAGCAGUGGGGAAUAUUGCACAAUGGGGGAAACCCUGAUGCAGCGACGCCGCGUGAGCGAUGAAGGUCUUCGGGAUUGUAAAACUCCUGUUGUUGAGGAAGAUAAUGACGGUACUCAACAAGGAAGUGACGGNUAACUACGUG
RNAcentral lists this ribosomal RNA (472 nucleotides) under uncultured bacterium. Its description in RNAcentral is "bacterial SSU rRNA". It matches the Rfam family "Bacterial small subunit ribosomal RNA", at positions 28 to 507 of the family's 1533-position model. The record is from RNAcentral.